AAUAGAUACCCCGGUAGUCCACGCCGUAAACGAUGAGUGCUAAGUGUUAGGGGGUUUCCGCCCCUUAGUGCUGCAGCUAACGCAUUAAGCACUCCGCCUGGGGAGUACGGUCGCAAGACUGAAACUCAAAGGAAUUGACGGGGGCCCGCACAAGCGGUGGAGCAUGUGGUUUAAUUCGAAGCAACGCGAAGAACCUUACCAGGUCUUGACAUCCCGUUGACCACUGUAGAGAUAUAGUUUCCCCUUCGGGGGCAACGGUGACAGGUGGUGCAUGGUUGUCGUCAGCUCGUGUCGUGAGAUGUUGGGUUAAGUCCCGCAACGAGCGCAACCCUUGAUCUUAGUUGCCAUCAUUUAGUUGGGCACUCUAAGGUGACUGCCGGUGACAAACCGGAGGAAGGUGGGGAUGACGUCGAAAUCAUCAUGCCCCUUAUGACCUGGGCUACACACGUGCUACAAUGGACGAUACAAACGGUUGCCAACUCGCGAGAGGGAGCUAAUCCGAUAAAGUCGUUCUCAGUUCGGAUUGUAGGCUGCAACUCGCCUAC
This 545-nucleotide ribosomal RNA is filed under the name uncultured bacterium. RNAcentral describes it as "bacterial SSU rRNA". It matches the Rfam family "Bacterial small subunit ribosomal RNA", at positions 777 to 1319 of the family's 1533-position model. The record is from RNAcentral.